This 253-nucleotide ribosomal RNA is filed under the name uncultured bacterium. RNAcentral's name for it is "partial 16S ribosomal RNA". It matches the Rfam family "Bacterial small subunit ribosomal RNA", at positions 524 to 776 of the family's 1533-position model. The record is from RNAcentral.
UACGAAGGGGGCUAGCGUUGCUCGGAAUCACUGGGCGUAAAGGGUGCGUAGGCGGGUCUUUAAGUCAGGGGUGAAAUCCUGGAGCUCAACUGUAGAACCGCCAUUGAUACUGAAAGACUUGAGUACAGACGAGGUAGGCGGAAUUUAUGGUGUAGCGGUGAAAUGCAUAGAUACCAUAAAGAACACCUAUUGCGAAGGCAGCUUACUAGGCUGUAACUGACGCUGAGGCACGAAAGCGUGGGGAUCAAACAGG